This 36123-nucleotide long non-coding RNA is filed under the name Ananas comosus (pineapple). RNAcentral describes it as "long non-coding RNA (ACOM_LNC018781)". Lineage: Eukaryota; Viridiplantae; Streptophyta; Magnoliopsida; Poales; Bromeliaceae. The record is from RNAcentral.
GCUAUUAGUAAUAAACGGGUUCCAUUGUCAUCUUUUUAUUUUCGAUAGUGGAACAUCCAAAUCGAUGAUUAGUAUCCUUGAACAUGAUCUAUACUACUUGAAAUAUCUAGAAAUUAAAUUUCAAAUCAUUUCAACAUCAUUGACCUAAUAAUCAAAGGGUUUCAAAAUUCGUAAUUUUAAUGAUCGAUAUGAUGUAUUUUCUCGUUUAACAGUAUAAAGAUAACCAAAUCAAUUGAAUUUUUUUUUUAGAGAUAGGUAGCACGCUACCCGCUUCGCUUAUUUCAUUUAGAAAUAAACUUAGCUAGAAAUGUGAAUCAACUAAGAUUCGAACUUGAAACCUCGGGUACCAUCCACUAAGCCCUUUGCCACUUGCUCUAGGGACGGUCGAUAAAUCAAUUGAAUUUUAGUUAGAAAAAUUUCUUAACUAUUUAGAACAAGAUCUAUACUCUCGAUCUUGAUUACACAAUUCCUAUCAUUACUUUUUAAAAAAAAUUCAUUUUUAGUCAUUCAUUUGUGUCCACUUGAUGGAUAAGAGAACAAUAUUGAAAAAACAUAAAAGUUGGUUUCUAAAUACUUCAAGUGAUAUAGAUUAUGCUCAGCCGGCGCCAAUCGUUGAUUUGAAGGCUCCAUCAUUGAAAAUAAAUAAGUGGCAACAGAGUCUGUUUGCUACCGAUAGUAUUCCAGCUCAACUAUAUAUAUAGAAUAAGACUAUUGUGCUCAUGGGAGCACGGAGGCCUCCGUAGUACUCCUAAGUCGUUUUCGAUGAUAAAAUUUUUGAAUCGACGAUCGGCUCCAUUAAACUUGAUAUAUGUAGCUUAUUUGAAAUAUCUAUAAAAUAAAUUUUAUAAUUUUUCAAUAUCAUUUAUCCAGUGACCAAAAGGGUUUAAAAUUAAUAAUUUUUAAUGAUUGAUAUCUACCGUUUUUAAAUUUAACGGUAUAGAAGUAUCCAAAUUAUGUAAAAUUUUGCUAAAAAUUUUUUUAUAUUGUUUACAACAAGAUUGAUAUUUCUGAUUAAAAAUUUUAGUACUAUAUCACCACUUUUUUAUAUUUUUAUUUUUAAUAUUUGAUUUUAAUCUUUUUGGAUCACUAAGUAAAUAAUAUCAAAAUUUACAAUAUUUAUUUUUUAAAUACUUCAAAUAUGGUAGAUCAAGUUUAAUAAAGCCAAUCAUAGAAUCUUCCAAGUACAAAGUACAAAUUUUCUGCCAUUAAAUCUAUCCAUUUAACCAUUUUCGUCUAUUACACCAUACUAUUUCACCAACCACCCAUUAAACCUUAAAGGGCCACUAUCAUCCUAACCACUCAUUUCUUUAUCCAAGGCCGACAACCUUAUAGUACUAAUGACUUAGUACUAUUAAUUUAUUCUAGUAUAGUUCUAUAUAUAUUUCGAGGAUAAGCAGCGAACAAAAUGUUGUACUACAUAUUUAGACUAACAAAGCGUGCAAAAAGUACUAAUUGACAUUCUCACGAGCAUACUCUAAUCACUUUUCAUAUACAUUUACAAAUGUUAAAAGCGGCUCAAAGAGAGAUGUGAACCACUAAAUAAUGUUAUACUUGAACGCAAACUUUGCAUCAUUUUACAAAUUAUGUGAUUCCUGAGCUUAAGUUAUUGUACGCCGAGCUCGAUCGCCAACUCAUAAUUAAUUGCACAUACAAAGUUGAGCGGCGGAGGAAACACGAAGGGAAAAGUUUUAAAUUCUUACAUUAUGAUCAUCAUUAUUAAAUUUCAUUAGAGGAUAUAAUAAUUAGCAUCAUAAUAAUCUCAUAUAUAGGGGAGAAUAUAAUAGAUUCCGAUAGUAAUCCCUCCUCUACCUCUCGUUCAUGGUAUCAUCGAUCAUACACUCGCUUUUGCUCCUCGCCACUAAUCACAUGUUGGAUUUCGCUUCGACCUUUUCCAAAAGUAAAGGAGGAAAAAAAAAAAAGAAAAAAAAAAAGAGCGGUCCAUCACUCCUCAUCUCUCAUGAGAUUCUUAACAUGGCAAUGUGUUUUAGAUUCUCGCGGUCACCACUUACCGAUUCUGAAAAGUCGAAAUCCAAUCUAGCGUCCUACACCAACCAAUUCAAACAGGAAUGAUUCUUCACUCGUUCAACUCUUUCCUUUUUCAUUUUUUUCUCUUAAUAAUUCAUUUAGUAUCUUAAAGUUUCCUUCAGAUACAGCUGAUGAGCUAGUAUUAUUCGGUAAUGGCUCGUUAAUAAUAUUUAUCGAGUCUAAAAAGUCGAGUCAUAUACGUUAGUUUGCAUGUGCCUGGCCAUUCUUUCAGUGCCUAAGGACUCCAGGUUAGUAGACCUAUACAUAAACCUUGAUAUGGUCAUGAAUGUCACUAGCCACAUGGGUGUAAUUAAUAACCAAGAUGAAGGCGCCGUAACCUACAUAUUUUAUUAAAAUUAUUAUUGGGAUUCACAAGGAGAUGCUCCCUAAAUUUUGCAUAGUUUAGUAGGGAGCCAUUUUAUUUCCCACAUAUGAAGCUCUUUGAUUACCAAGGUUACGUAAUUAAUACUCACCCAAUAGAUCGCCCAACUAUGAUUUAUGAAACCAAUUGAUUCUUACAAAGUCUCCAAACCAUUUAUGUUUUAACACGCUGGAACUUUUGGUGUUUGCAUGUUUCGUUCUACUUUUACUUUUGAACUGGUCAUAUAUAGAAUCAUUUUCACUAGAGUUUUUCAGUAGAUGUGAAUAUUUUAAAUUUUUACUGUAGGAAAAAAUAUAAAUCAAAUUUUGAGUUGGAAAAACAAAAGCUACAAUUUAGAACUUAGUGAAGAUGCUUUUUAAAAUAAUUCAUUCUAUAAUUCUAUUAUUUACUUUAUACUUCAUCAAACACUACCACCUUAAUGCAAAAAUCAACCAAGUUAUUUUUGACCAUUAUUUUACAAAAGCAAGUAGAUCAAUGAGUCACAAGGUGGGCAAGGUUUUAACUAUCAAACCGUGUAUAUAGGCCGGCGAUUCCCUCUCUACUCUACUCUUCGUCGCUUCUUCGGCACUCCACGUGGCAUUCACUCAUACUCAACGAAACAAAGACUCUAUUAUAAGAUAAAAUAAUAAAAAUAGUAACAAUACAGCUAUGAAUAAUCGACUGUUUCUAACGCAAUGACAAAAAAUUUGAUGAUUGGUACCGAUAUCUAAAUUCGAAUCCUAGUUGAUUCACAUUUCUGAUUAAAUUUAUUUUUUUUAAAAAUAAACGAAACAGAUAGCAUAUUAUUUUUUUUUUAAAUAUAUAUAUAUAUAUAUAUAUAUGGUGAUGAAUAUAUAAUAAAGCCAACACUUGGCAGCAACACUCCACCAUUUGACUGCGCCCAAAUUUGACUUGAUCUCCACGCGUUCUCUCUCCACCAGCCCUGAGGUAUCCCUUAAAUACCACUUUAGGUGCGGCCAAAAAAUAUAAGCCCCACCUCCACACAUCGUGCAAAAGUGCUUUUCUUUGUAGUUCUCUCUCAUGGCCUCUCAUGCACAAAGAAAAGCACUUCUCCUCUUGGCUCAUCUUCUAUUGCUCUUCUUUUCAAUUGAAGGUAGGAAAUUUCUGAAGGAAGAAGAGAUCAUGAGCAUGGUUCAACGCCUCGAAGUCGGUCGCAGUCAUGCUCCGCCGCGGUUCUCAACCGAUGACGAAGGUCGGCACGUCUUUGUUCGCGUAUCGGGCUUUGCGAUGAGCGGCGGUGAGGGCCGCAUGCUGCAGUCGGUACCGAGCCCUGGCAUCGGUCAUUAGUGACGUUGCUCGCUGUUCCCUCAUUCUCUUUUUCCCGACAACGCGAAAUUAAGAAAAUAUUUGCAGGUUACGUGUGAUACUUUAUUCUAUUUUUUUCUUUUUUUUCUCGCACGUUGAUAGGUUUAUGAGUAUUGAUGCUCCUGAGAGUAACAUCAGUGUAUAUAUGAUCUAGUGAAUAUAACAGCUGGGAUCGAUGUCAUAAAAGUUGUUCUGGUUCUUAGUUUUCUGGAUAGUAAUUAUCUGAACGUGUGAUGAAUGGCAAUUAAUUUGAUUUUUAAUAUCUUAUUUAAAUGGACUAGUUUCUUAACUUUAGUUGAUUAGUCUACAUGCACUGAUCCUAACUGACGUUUAGUUUAGAUUUUUAACUGAUGUGCGAUGAAUGGUAAUUUAUUUGUAAUAUUUUUGGUACGAAAAAUUCAUAUUCGUACUAGCAAUCUAAUUUGUAAAUAUCUGUAAAUGUAAAUAAAGAUUGUCAGGUCUAUAAAUACACAUCUCAAAUUCAAGCAAAGACAAAAAAAAAAAAAAAAAAUCUCAAAUUCAAACAAAAAGACAAAAAAGAAAAAAAAAAUCGUCUACACACAAACUAAAAACUUAAAAAUUAAGAAUUAAAAAAAAAAAGUAAGAAUCUCUUUAUUUGUGCGCACGUGGCUGCUUUAUUUUGCGUCCGAGCGCCACGGAGCUUGCGUUGAAGUGUGAAUGCGUGUCGGUUAAACUCGUACCAGGAUUGAUGACGUGGCGCGAAGUAGUUGUAGGGAACUCAACAAGAAUUGGUUAGGCUCCAGCGCCUAGCAAGGUAGAGGUGUACGGCUCGAAUUUUGAUGCAAGUUACACGCGCCUCCACGUGUGUGGGUGAUCGAGAAAUUAAUGUACGGGUAAAUGGAAUUUAACCACGAGAUAUACAGGCAAUGGCAUUUAACCAUGGAAUAUACAGGUAAUGGCAUUUAACAGCCACCACACCACCUACAGUACUUAACGCAAUUUUAUACACAGAUAAUGGUAUUUGACAACGACCAUCAUUAUUGACCCUACUUAUUAGUACAGUCCAUUAAAGAAUUUAAUAAUUAAUACUUAAACUUCCGUGUUUGAAAUCUAAUUAUUUUUUAUUUUUGCUGAAAGAAAAAAAAAAAAAAAUAAAGACAUAGUUUACAAAGUUGCAAUGCACAGGAGGCCUUUUCUGCCAUCCAAACACAGCAUUUUCCGGGUAGCGGUGUACAAAUUCCAACGAUAUGUAACUAACCAAACGUGCAGUCGUCGAUCUAUGCAGAGUUUACAAAGUUGCAAUGCACGUGUUACAACUUACAACAUACUCUGUCUACAAUGACCCAUUCAAGCGUUUUUGCUUUAGUACAGUACUUCACAAACUAGACAAAGGUAAACAAAGUAGUGAGCUUUUAACUACGUUAUAUAUAUGACCAAACAGCAAUCAACAUAUUCAAGGAGCUUACAGUAGUUUCAUCACAAAAUCUGUAAUUAACUGUACCAUCUUACCCCCCUGGAACCCAUAUCUGAUGGUAACUUAUUAGAAUAGCUGAAUAAAUCUAGAUGGAAACAACCAGCCUAUGCACAAAAAGAGUAACAGGACAAUCCUGGAUGAUCCAUCAAUACUCGCGACAAUCAAUCAAAUCAACUUCUUUGAACAAUGUGGGCAUAGGUACAAAUUCAAGAUUCGGAAUACUCCUGCACUGCUAACAAAAAUUUACUACGUCAACUUGAUAUCAUGUUUGAUAUCAUACCUCUACAUAUUGGUACCAAAUUUCCAACCAAAGCAAAAUCAUAUAAGAGGGCUAAUUAUAAAAGCAGCAACGCAAGGUUUCUGAAACAAAUUUAAUGUUUAGGUACUAAGGCCUCCAAAAGUAAUAUCAAAAACUAAGCAAUACGGGUGGCAUUUUUCAUGUGCUCAUGUGCUUUCCUUGAUAGAUUAUACAACGGAAUUUGCCAAGAUAAAAGUUACUAGUCGUACGUAAACAUGGGCAACAUAAAUAGUAUGCGCUCCUGCAUGUGUUUUCACAUUUUGUUGUGGACCCCAUUGUUUUUCAUAUAGAAUAGUAACUUUGGUCGCUCUUAAGUGCACACGAAAUAACUAAAACCAGACCAAGUAAUAGAGUAAAUUAGACGACCGCAAAGCCAAAACUCACCUAACUUACAACAAGUGACAUCCAGUGCAUCUCUCGAGGGUACAUCACUCUCAAGGUCCAUUAGUUAUUUAAAGUAGGGAAAACUUUAAAAAACCCCCCUGUGGUUUCAUGCAUUCUCACUUUAGUAUCAUGUGGUUUAAAACGUAUCAAUUUGCUCCCCUGUGGUUUCGUUUUUAUCUUUUCAGAAGCUUUUUCGUUAAUAUUUCGUUAAAUUAUAUACAAAAAACUUCAGAUAACCAUCUAUGUUUAUCGAAUAUUCACUUUAGUAUCCUUUAAUUUUAAUUUUAUCACUGAUUUAAGAAAAAAAUAAUAAUAAAAUUGAUAACAAAAAGAGAAAAAUGAAACCACAGGGGGGCAAAUUGAUACGUUUUAAACCACAGGGUAUGAAAGUGAGAAUGCAUGAAACCACAGGGGGGGUUUUUGAAGUUUUCCCUUUAAAGUAAUUCUAAGGGAAGAAGGUUUGUUUCAUUAUAUUCCUUCUCAUCUUCAAACACAACAUGCUUCUAAAUAAUUUACUCUAUGCAAUAAAGGAGAGUUUUUUCUCUCAAAUUACAAAGCCCUAAAAGCAAUGUAAAUCAACAACAUAAAUAGAACUGAGGCAGCUAAAGGUUAAUUUUUAUUAAAGAAUGGUUGGUAAGUAGAAUGGAACAUAAGGCCACUGCAUGAUUUUGUCAAACAGUUCAACAUACUAAAAGAGCUUGCUGCAGAUUUUCUACAUCCUUGUCCCCAUGAUUGCACAAAUCAUCUGUGCUCAAUAUUAACCAAUACACGCCUCUCUCAUCGACUAACAACUAAAGAAUGGUAAACCUCUACCUGACAAACAUACUAAAUGAAAUACAGGUGUCAUCUUUGGUCCUAUCAUCAUCUGUCCUAGUUAGCUAUGAACACAUGGUAGAUCUCCCAAAAUUAAAACAUGUACAACAGUCUAAAAGAAACAAACAAGAGAAAGAUAAAAGGCAGUCUACAGAACUAUUUUGCAGCAUCAAUCGUAAGAUGGAGAACUAAGAUAAGAUCAGAGUAAUACUCAAACUAAAAAAGUGGCUGCUUUUGCUAGCUGUCAAUCUACAAACUAACAGAAUAGCACAGUGACACAAAAGAUUAGUCCAGCACUUCGAAUGAUGGGGGUGGGAGGGUUGGGGGGGCAUGAGGAAAAAGGAAAGUAAAAUUGAUUUCUAAAUACUACUAUUUUACAUGGAUAUAACCAGUCAUACCUCAUAGCCGAGUAACGAAAAUUUCCACCAAUAUUCUGAGCUCAAGAAGAAACAAUUUUAUGUCUUUUCAGAUGAACUGAGAUGUCCCAUUUUCUCUGUGAGGUGAUCGACAUUCUUCUUUUUCCACCAAUUCUGCCCCAUUCCCACAACCUUUCCUCCAUUUCUCUUUUCAUCAGCGUCUCUUCUUUCCGAUUGGACCUCUUGUGCAUCAAUCGAACCAGGUGUCUCAGUAAGAAACUGUUCCCAGAAUACAUCAUUUACGCCAGUUGGCACAGCAGAGGCUGCAGUAUUGGGUUUCUCCCUCGUUGAAUCUCCUUCAGCAACUGUAGGUUCAGAGUUCACGUCUAUUUCGACAAUCUUGCUUUGAUUAUCUGCAUGAGUUUCCACCACAUGAAUUUCUGUCAAAGGAAGAGCAGGGCUUUCAGCAUAAUUAGUGGAUUCCGCCAGCUCAGGUGAUGAAUGGAUAUCACCUAUACAAGGUGAAGAAGAACGCAACUUGGGCGGUGAGUGCAUAUUCACAUCAGUCUCACCAGAUGAUGCAUCCAUCUCCACAAGAACUAGAGUAGAAGGGGGGCCAGGGACAAAACCGUCAUAACACAUGUCUUCUUCCCCCAAAGCUUGACUCACCCCUCGGAAAAAAAUUUCUAAGGAGUUUAAGGAUGAUUCCAUCUUAUCGAAGGGCUCAGUGUCCAAUGCAUGCGUAGCAAAUACAUCCGAUCUCUCUUUAUUUACCACCUGCAAAGGUGCAAUUCUGUUUUCUUCCAUAUUGGCAUCCUCGUAGAAGAAGUUACUUUUCGGUAGCCUCCUCUUCUUACCAAAAUGGUCGGGUUUCUGAACAAAUUUAGACAGAAAGCCGGGUGUCUGAACUAUUUGGCUCAACGAACCCAUUAGAUUUCUUUGGCGUUGUUCCAUGACUUGCAACCUCUCCUCUAAAGACUGCAUUUGCUGGUCCAUCCCAUGCUGCUGUUGUGUGUGCUUCUGGAGCUCUUGUAUGAGCAGACCCUUCUCGUGCUUGAGUUUCUCGAUCUCCUCCUCGAGUUCUUGUCUUUCCGGUUCGGCCAAUGGCCCAUUCCCUUGGUUGUGCAACGAAUGGCUGUGGACGGGUUUGCGCCUAUGGAUAUUUUUUAAUAGGUGCCUUUGUCCCCUUAUGAAGUCUUCAUUUGCGAAUUCCCACUGAUCAGGAUCUAUUUUAUGGAAACCCUAGAAUAUGACAAACAGAGCAAAAUGCACAUAAAUCACUGGAUCAUUUUUGCUUCACAACCAAUGAAUGAAGAUAUUAAGGCAAUAAAAAGUCUGCCUCACGUUCGACCUAUUUACGCCAACGAAAUUCAAAUAAAUGAUGGUAGUACCAAGAGCUACCCUAUAUUCGUAGACAUGAGACACCAUCCUUUUAUCAGCGAAUAAAGCUUUAAGGUAAGUUACAGUUAAGCUGAAUGCAAGCUUGAAAAUAUUGGAAGAUAUUCUACAUGAUACCAUGGAUUGUACUUCGGGGACAAAAAGUACAACAUAGUAAGCAAUUUUCUUUACAUGGACAAAUGCAAUCCAUUAAGUAGGAAACAAACGAAAAAUUCAGCAGUAAAAAUCAUAGUAAAUCAAACAAUCCACGAUACACAUGCUAAGCGAUUGAACUAAUAACCUUACAGAUAAUUAUGUCACAUAUAUAGGACGAAUUAUCGACGAGGGAGAAAAGCUUAAUCCAUUAGCAGCCAAUUCACAAACUACUCAAUUAGCCAUAUACAGGGCUUAGAAUGAGUACAACUAAGCCAUUAACAAUACAUCAAAACCACUAUAACCAGAAAAUUUUAAAGGAAGUAGAAUCAAUUCAAUUGAGUAACCAAAAAGAAAAGACGCUUUUUUUUUUUUUUAUCAGAUUCAGCUCACUUACAUAAGUAUUAAGCUGCCUCACGAAGCUGGAGAAAUUGUUGUGCUUGAAGUAUUUGGGGAGCAAAUCCUUUUCAAAACCCCGCGGAUUCCAAACAACGAAGCUGGUAUUGUUCAACCCCCACGAAACAAUGGAGUCCGUGGAGGGAUCAUCCACCAUGUCAUACGUCUUCGUGAGGAAAGGAGGCGGCGAAUUCGAGCUCCCCGGCGACCCCUCCAUGUCCCCCUCCCCCACGCAAACCCUAGCACCCCCCCGAUCAAUCCCAACGCAUCGCGGAAUCCGCCGCGAAGGCCCGAAACCUCGAUCGAUCCGCCUCGAAUUGGAGCAGCAGAAGCGUCGAUCGGAGCGGGAUUGACCUGGUCGUGGCGAGAUCGCGAACCCUAGAAAAAGCCCUCCUAAAAAGGAACCCAAAAAGGAGAGGAAAAGAAUGAGCUUUUUUUUAUAAAUUUCUUCCUUUUUUCUCCGAGAAUAACGAAAACGACGAGGAGGAGGAGCUUCUUCCUUUUUUUUUUUUCGUUUAGGGCUUUAUUGGAAGAUAAUGGGAGAAGAGGCUCCACGAGGUUCUGGAAGGAUUUGAUGCGCCUCUCGGAGUAUUUAUGGCCGUGGAAAUUUCUAGAAGAGAAAAGAAGAAGAAGAAGAAGGAGAAAGAGAAAGAGAGGUCGCAUGAGUACAGGGUAGCCUUAAAUGUCGAGCUUUUUGGCUCCGCCUCAUAUUUAAUCUUUGUCUUUCUCUUUUAUUAUUUGAUGUAAUUGGCCUAAGAUUUUAUAAUCUCGCAUUUAUAAAAUGCAUAAUCCACAAGUUAAAUAAUAGAGAUUUUUGUACAUACUGACAUGUAUGUUAAUCCAAAAUCUUGGCUUUUGUAAGCACCCUUAAAAAAUCGAUUUGUUAAUUUCUUUACACUUGUACUUACAAAUGCAUUAAAAAAAAAAAAAAACAAAGUUCAAACUGACGAGCUUUAUUGCACCGAAUGACAUAAGAACAAUAUUUAUUAUAAUAUUUGUAUAUUUUAGUUUAGAAGUCUAUUUGGAUGCCUAAAAUUUUGCGCAUAAAUUCACACUAUUCAUAGAAGUUCAAUGAGGCAGUGUUUGGAUAUACGAAAGAAGAAAGGAUAUUCAGUACUACAACUGAUUAUCACAAUUUUAUAAUAGUACGUAGAGUAGAAAAUAGAGAUUAUUUAUACUGCAUAUUUAGGGUGCUGGUGAUACAUACUAUGAAAUGUGCCCUUAUCUUUUCUUGAAAAAGGACUACUAAAUGUAACACCAGUCGGUAGUAAUGAUGAUAAUGGAGAUGUUGUGCGAUAUGAAUGGUAAUGGUUUAUUAGUUCUCAUAACAGUACAUGCAAGUGAUGAACAAAUUGACGCUUGCGUUUUUCACUUUUAAUUAGGCUAAAUUACAGAAAAUCCUCUUGUAAUAAUCCGUUUUUUUACUUUUCCUUUCUGACAUUUAAAAACCUACACUUUGUCCCCUUGUAAAAUAAAAAAUGUGCACUUCAUCCCCUACCGUUAGAGUUCCGUCAGGGUUCCGUUAAAAUAUAUAUUUUUAUGCCGAAAAUACCCCUCCGUCAUCUCCCUGUUGCUUCGACUCCCUCCGGCUCGCCACCUCGCCGCCGCCUCGCCGCCUCGCCGCCUAGCCGUCUCGCCGUCCUCCACUGCCUCGCCCUCACCCACAUCCCCUCCGCCGUCCUCCGCCGCCUCGCCUUCACCUUCUUUGCCCUUCUCCUACUGUUGCCCACCUCGGUUUUCUCCUACUGUCGCCGAAAUCGAGGGCGGCGAGGGUGCAAGAGGAGAAGGGGAGCAGGUGGAGAAAGAAAUGGAGAGAAAUCGCGACGGAUUGAGGUGGGAAUCGCGGCCGAACGAAGAGGCGGCUAAGGAAGAUGGAGAAGAAGACGACAAUGGCGAGGAGCAAAAUGAUCAUUUUACACACUGUAAUCCUCCUGUGAAUAUUUUUUGGGCAAAGUGUAGGAUUUUAAAUGUCAAUUGGAAAAAGUGAAAAAACUGAUUAUUAUAGAAAAAUUUUCUGUAAUUUAACCUUUUAAUUAUGUGAUUGCUAUAAGAAAAGUUUUCUGAUCUACUCCUCGUUUGUAAACAAACUACUAAGAUAUCGGUGCUAGUGGUUGUAAAAAGUACUAGUGGUAGCAGUCGUAGAAAUAGUAUAGUAGUCAUUUCUCCACGCUGAUAACGAGUAAAAGCAUGAUCAUUGCUGCAUAACUAGCGAUUUAAUUAAGAUGAUAAUGCUAAAUGUAGUGGUACGAUCGAUUGAGAACAACAAUUAAUAGUUGCGGUUUGGUCCUAACAAUGUUACAGUCUCUGGGAUAUCAAUGGCCUUAUAAGCUAGCUCGAAUCAUGCGAUAUGUUGUGUUUGUUGACCAAUUCAAUCAAUUCUAACAAAAUAAGAUCCCAAAGAUAAUUCUAGGAAGAAAGCAAAAGAAAUGUCAUUCUCAUUUUAUUCACAAAGUCAAAAGGGACUCAACAAACACAGGACUUUUUUUGCUCUAAUCAAGUAUCAAAAGAGAACUUGUUUAUGAGGUUAAGGCUAAUAAUAGUUGAUGGAAGAAACAGUAGAUUAGAGUAAAAAUAUGUUCAUUCAAAUUAUUGGGAGAGAAAUACGAUUGUAAGGCCUAUGUAUAUUAUGAGAAUAAGCCAACAAAAAUGCUCGUGUAAACGACUUUUUGCUCGUAAACCCUACUUGGGGCUAGAGCCUUUCUUUCAAUUCAAGGAUAUUUUCAAACCAGAGAGAUCCUUUGUAUCAAUUUUCUCCAUAAUGAAUAUUAUUAUUACAAAGUUGUGUUUGAAUUUCUUUCAAUAAAUAUCCGUGCUCAAUUUUUAACUGCUAAACAAAGUUACUAACACAAAUUACUGCAUAUGCAUGCUUAUGUAGAUCCAACAUAACAACUCCUGGGCUAACAAACAAAAUAAAGAUAAUUCAACCCAAAGAUAGCGGAUUUUUUUUUUUUUGGUUUUCAUUUACAAAUAACAAUUUAAUCGUUGAAUAUUUUAAUAGAUAGAGUUUCUUAUUCUUGUUGUUUUUGACUAGUUUAUACCCUGAAUAUGUAUAAUUUAUAAAUAUCUCUUCAUUUCUCUGUACGCUGGAUCAUAUAAAAUUUAUAUCUAAAGAAAUGAAAAAUAAUAAUAAUAGUAUUAAAAGAAGCCUCAGCAUGAGAGAAUUGAGGUCGUCUGAUUAUUUUUGUGAUGUCUAGGUAAUGUGAUUUGUCCCCGGGUAAAUUCACUACAACAAAAUUAGAUCAUAGGGACACAUAUUUGAGACAUUUUUGUGUAAGUAUCCAAAUUAUGCCAAAAUUUUUAAAAAAAAUCUACUAAUGCCUAAAUAUAAAGUCCAAUCCAAUUAAAAAUAAAAUGUUACUCUACUCAACCCACCCCAUCGAGCUCAUUCGACCCGAUUACAAACAGAAAAGAAAAAUUGAUUAUCAUUUCUCCUUCUCCCCUCACUCAAUGGACUGAAAUCCUAAACGAAGAUCCUUUCCUCUCGUCCUCCUCCGCCAUCGCAGCUAACGAGAUAGAGUUCCGACGGCUGCUAAAUACUUAAAGAAAUAUUGGUAAAUUAGAAGUAUUUUUUAGGUUAUAGAGACACUCUUUAACUGUCACUAUAUACUUAGUGACCCCACAUAUAGCAACACUUUUUAAAAGUGUCGGUAAUUUAGCCGGCAAUAUUUUUCUUGAUCUGUACCGAUAUUUAAAAGUGUCACUAUAAAUCGUUUUUGUUGUAGUGAAUGACCUUCAUUACUCUCUAGCAAAUGUGGACGCUACUUCUAUGGUACGAGCUAUAUACAUCAACGUAGAAUUAAUCCAAGGAAUUGUGCAAACCUGCAAGCGUCGAGUACGUACGUGACAUUGCGACGUUUACUGUAGAGCGAUAUUAGGCAGAAUAAAUACAUACAUAUAUGAAAUAUAUAUAUAUAUAUAUAUAUAUAUAUAUAUAUAUAUAUAUAUAGUCAUAAUUUACAUGUAAAAUUUUAGAGCUUUUACUUGCUACAGUUUGCGACCGGUGUGAAAAUCCAGUUCGAGUAUUUUGGGGGGCACGAAACUCAUUCUGGCAGCUUCCUACAUAACAAAUAGAAUUUAAGGUGUUACUGCUGUCGAAUUAUUAUUUUGUAUCUCUAUGUUAGAGAAGUUAUUUUGGAAGCUAAAUAUCACGAUAAAAUAUUACGAGAAAUGUGCAGAGUUGGUACCAUCUGAGAUAGUUUAUUCAUACGAAAAUUUUAAAAUAUGGCAGUCAUACCAAUUCAUUUAUGUCCUUAGCCAAUUAAAUUUUUUUAAAAAAAUUCACACGUUCCAUCAGUAUUUUUAAAAAUAUUUUUAAAUUUUUUUUUUAAUGAGAGAUUUAAUUGACUUGUAAUAAAGAUAAUAGGCUGUAGCAGCUAUGUAAGAGACCAUCAAGGGCUUUUUUUUUGUAUAUUUUUUUUUUAUAAAUGAUCUUAACAAAUUUAUAUUUAUAUAAAUAAUUCUCUCCUUACCACAUGUUCGAACAACUAGGUGGCAUUUUAUGUUGAACACGGUGAUUCAAUCAUUGUGUUUAGAUACGACGAUUGGAUCACGGUAUUUCUUUUUAUAUUUUUUAUUAUUCUCAGUUAAAAAAAAAAGGCCUAGAGUAUAGACAUGAAUAAUCACCGUAUUUAAUUUGAAAAUGCUAAUGUGGUGCUCAAGUGGUAAGGAGGUGAUCAUAUAUACAAAUAUAAAUUUGUUAUGAUCAUUUAUAUAUAUAUAUUUGUUUUGAGGGGUGUAAAUAUAAAAGUGCCACCCCUCUCGAAUGCUCGAUCCAUAGACGUGUCAAAGUAGGCAACUUGUAUGGCUCCACACAUCUUGGGUACCAAAAACUUUUCUUUUUUUUGAGAGAAAGGUAGCACGUUACCCGCUUCAUUCAACAGAAUGAUGAAUUAGGCUACAAGGCUGGGACAGCCAGGCCCCGAGCGAAGGCGAAAAAAAAAAAAAAAAAAAAAAAAAAAAAAAAAAAAACACCUAAGGAGAAAGAAGAGAAUCCCACUCCGUCACUAAUUGCUUAAGCCUCUUGACAGCUAUCCCCGGGUUCGAUUGACAAUUCCUAAAUAUCCAAUCAUUCCUCACCUUUCAAAUGGUUCACGAGCAGCCUAUCAGAACAGUACGUCUGGUUCUCUUCUUGUGCUCUUCUUGUGCUGAUCCUUUCUAACCGGCCACUUUUUCCAGACGAAUUUUCCAUUGAUGUAAAAUAUGUGGUUCAUUAAUUAUCACGCUAGGACAAUUAAUUUUUUAUUUCUUCUCCAGCAAGUUACCGUUGACUUUGACUGUAGACGCCGAUGAAUCCUUUUCAUUUGGUUCGCGUCAGCAAUGUUGUCACUCAUCACUCAUGGCCUUGUGUGAAGAUUAUCUGAUGAUUAAAUUGAAUUCAUAACCGUAUCAUUCUAGAAUGUUGUUUGACAUUUUUUACCAUCUUUUACGCGGUUUUUUAAGUUAAUUCUCGAAACUUUUGUGUUCUUCUAAUGUGGUGUAUCUUAGUGACAUGGUUCUAAAUUAACGAUGUUGAUGUGUUCACACAUUACAUUACAGGUGGAUGUUAUAUUUGCGACAACUGAAUCUUGAGAUUGUUAUAUUUGCUAAACACUUUAAUAUGAACGGUUUGUGGAUUGUUAACGCUAACUAACUAUUUCAAAAAACAGGUGAGGGUUAAACCACAGUCCUGACGGACUUCAAGCUAACUCAAUUGCCGUUAGAUCUAUUGUGGACUGCAGUACCACUUAAUUUAUUCGGCCCAAACUAACCCAACAUUUUAAUUUUCUGAGCUUAUAUAUUAUAGGAUAGAAAAUAGAAGUUAUUUUAACCAAUAAUAAAUAGAUAACACAUUUUAGUCUAAGUAAAAAGAAGUUAAUCCAAAUGAGUUUCUAAAUGAACGAGUUCCGCUCUGAUUUAAGAGUGUGAAACUAGGCUAGACUCGCGAUACGAACGACAUUUUAAUGAUAUUUUAUAGAACAACAAGGGCUAGACCUUCAAUAAUUUGCUUUCACCUUCGACCUUGCGUGUUCGAUUGCCUUCGGUGAGCAACUGAUGGGCCCAUAACUAUCUACCUUCGGCUUCGACCUUUUCUAUAUCAAAUCCUAACAAUCGCCACCAUCUUAUUUCUCAAUUUGCAUAUGUUCACGAGCGCUUAUUAUUAAAACAAAAGAACAUGAUUUAGCUCUAUGCGCGUGCUAGUCCGAACUUAAUUUCUUGACCCAAAGUGCGGUUGGUCUAUCCUAGCUUUGGCUCGGCCCGAAUUGUUGGGUUAUAGACGAAUUUGGGAGUUUUAAUUAACUAGGCCUAUAUUAUUUGUGUCUCGAUAGGUCUUUUUAUUAAAGAUAAAGAUUGGUAAUGUGAUGUCAAAUAAUAUGUGGCAUAAACGAGAUGUUUCAUGCACAUGCCGUAGAGUAGCAACACUUUUUGAGGCGAAUAAUGAGUUGCAUGGAAGUUGGAAUUGUGGGACCAUUGGCGCUAAUCAUUAAUUCUAAAAAUUCAAAUUAUUAGAAACCCACAAUUAAUUUAUUUCAAAUAUAAUACCCACAAGUCUCGAUUGUGAUUCAUCCUAACCAAUCUUACGCUACUUCGAAUAUGACUUAGCCUAAUCCAGCCUCACGCCAUUUCGAAUAUACUCGGUCCAAUCUGAUCUCCCAUCAGAAGGCAGGAUACUAGUCUAUUUAAACCAAUAGGAAUAUCACUUUGUUUUGCUCGAAAAAGUGGUGAUUUUUCAUAGAUAAAUAAUGUAAUCAAAAAAUUGAGCCCUAUAUAUACUUUUAAAAGUACCAAGUCAUUGGCACUUAUAGGUUUUGGCUCUUAAAUUAAGGAAUGUGUUGUUAGAAUAAUAGUGAUCCAUUAAAGUUUAGUGGAUGGUUGGUUUAAUAGUAUAGUCUACCAGGUGAAAAUGAUCCAAAUGAUAGAUCUAACGGCGAAAAAUUUACAAACCACUACAACAGAAUUAGUUUAUAGGGACACAUGUUUGGGACACUUUUGAGUAAGUGUCUCAUUUAUGCUAAAACUUAAAAAAAUAUCUACUAAUGCCUAAAUAUAAAGCUCAAUCCAACCAAAAAUAAAAGAUUACUCUACUCAACCCACCACACCCAGUCCAUUUGGUCCGAUUACAAACAGAAAAGAAAAAAAAAGAAAAAUUAAUUACCAUCUUUUCUUCUCUCUUCACUCAAUUCACUGAAAUUCUAGACGAAGAGCCUUUCCUGUCGUCCUCCUCCGCCACCGCAGCCAACAAGAUAGAGUUUCGACGGUUGCUAAAUGCUUAAAUAAGUGUUGGUAAAUUUGCAGUACUCUUUAGGUUAUAGCGACACUCUUUAACUGUCACUAUAUAUCUAGCGACCCCACAUAUAGCAACACUUUUUAAAAGUGUCGGUAAUUUUAGCUAGCAGCACUUUUUUGACAUGUACCUAUAUUUAAAAGUGUCGUUAUAGAUCGUUUUUGUUGUAGUGUACAUCAAAUACUUGUAAAUUUUAAAAGCACCGUAGCCGGACUCUAAGUUAGGCAUUCGGUCGUUAGAAAUAAUAUCCUAUUCAAUCUUCAUAUUAUUUUUUUUUGAAGAUGAAAUAAUUAUUUUAUAGGUGAAAUACAUAAAUGUCAAAAUCUAAUCAAACUCUUAUUCUCUAGUUACAAAAGAAAAAUCAUAUUGAAUAAAGAGCAAUGCUCCUAUGCACCAACAUGAUCUUAGCCCUAUUCUGACAUUGGACCUAAUUAAAGAGCAAAUAUUGAACUUUUAAUUUUUAUGUGGAAUUAAGUAAUUACUGAUUUAUUUAUUUAUUUCAGCAGCUAAAUGCACCUAACUAAAUGAAUGUGGCAAAGAAACAAACACCCAUUACUUUAUCAAUUAUUGCCCAGCUAUAUAAUAAUCUACUGCACCUGUCUUUUGGCGGGUAUGUAAAUAUGUAAUGACACAAUCACCAUUCACGAGAUGCACGCACGAAGGGGAACUGCGCAAAUGACGACAAGUAGAUGCGAGAAUCGCAUGUACCUGCGAGAAAGUACAUGCGCUUGCUUUGUUUUANUAUAUAUAUAUAUAUAUAUAUAUAUAUAUAUAUAUAUAUAUAUAUAUAUAUAUUACUCUCUUAUUCAUGGCUAAAAAACAUAUUAAUGAUUUAGUAAGAAACGGAAAAAAAAUCAAAAAUAUAAUAAUAAUAAAAUAACGCUGCGUCAGAUAGAGUGCUCAAAUACUUAAAAAAAUAAAGAAAAAUUAAAUAUGUACUAAAAUUUGUAUUUACUAUAUUAUGAAUAGAUCAAUACAGUUCAAUAUCUGGCGCUUAAAUAUUUAAAGAUCAGAAACAAAAAUAUUUAAGUAAAUAAAUAAAUACAAUGAAUUUGAGAGAUGGAUCAUGGAAUCAGCCAUAAGAGUGUGCUGACUGCUGUCGUGCCCCCACGUCUGUGCUGGUCAGGCAACGACAGCUGCUCUCUGCCUUCUUUUGAAUUCCUGUCUCCCUCCACCCCUUCCUCUAUCUCUCUCUCUCUUUCUCUUUAUAUAUACAUGACCAUCGAUUAACAAUAUGAUGAUGAUACUAUCUUAAUGAUCACUUACCGAAAAUUAAAAAAGAAAAACUGAAGAUUCUUUACGAGUUUUGAUUCCUCGAGGACCCACGGUUCAUUGACCAUAAUCUAGUUAAUGUUCUCUAAUUAAACUCGAAUAAUAAUAAUAAACAUCGUUACGAUUGAUUUGCAGGAUUAAUAUUUAUAUAAAAGUUACAGGAUACGUAUUGGUAUCUAUUUGGUCUGAUAUCUAUACCAGUUUCUUUACUUGGAAAUGCAAAUUUUAUAUUUCACAAAUGGCCAAUUUGGAAUCCUUGAUUUGAAGAGAAUGCAAAAGUAGGCUUUCAAAGAAUAAUUUAUUUCAUAUAAAUUUUUUCUAAUAUGAAUGUAAGUAACGAUCUUUUUUUUUUGUUUUUUCAAAGGUGUUGCUAUCCAUAAUUUGAGAGGAUAGCUUAUUUUACUUACGAUCGAGUUAGCUUUAUCUUAUUAUAAAAAAAAAUGAUUUGGAGUCCAAAUAUGAUAUUUCAUUCUAAAUAUAAGACGACAGUACUUCUUAUCAAUCAAAUAUAUAAAUUCUUUGAGUAAAUAAAGACUCUAUUUGAAUAUUGGAAUAAGUUAUUAAAAAAUAAAGCAUCCGGUAGAAAAAUUUUUAUCAUGAUUUUAAUUAAGUAGAAAACAUGAAUUUUAUUUUUUUAAAAAAAUUUACCAUCCAUAACUUAGUAGGAUAGUAUAUUUCACAUACAAAAAAAAUUAUCUUAUUCUGAAAAUAUAAUGUGAAAGUCAAAUGUAAUAUUACAUUAUGAACUUUUGGUCACACUUCUAAUCACUCAAAUAUAUAAAUUUUUUGAAUGAAUCAAAAAAAUAUACCAAAUAAAAUAUUUAUAUAUCCAAAUAAGGACUAAAGAAAAAUAUCAAAAAAUAUAUAUUUCUCCAUUCAAACUAGGCCUUAAUUAGGUUCAAAAUAGAAAGUUAAGAUGAAGAUGAGCUCUAGUUUGUCAUUUAGCUUGAUAUUUAAUUUUCACAGAAAUGACGUGAUCAGAUAAGGAUAAUGAUAGAGAUCGGCAACUCCGUGAGAAAGUAGGAGGGGUAAUGGAGUGGAGAGUGGGGCAUUAGCAUGCAUUAUCUCGUUUCUGCUGUUCGUACGUCACGUGCAUAAACAAGCAAAGAAUAGGAUAGUGGGACUCGUAAAACUUGCACUCUACUCUCUCUCUCUUCUUUUUUUUCUUUUUUUUCUUUAUAUUAUACCAAACUAAUUAAGAACGCAUAACACUGCAUUGUGUUGAUUUCUAUGUUACUCUUCUUUUAGAGUGUAACGACUCACUUUUUAAAGAGUCAUUCAUUUUAAAAUUAUUAUAAUUUUAACAUGUUUAACUCUUUUAAUUUUUUGGACGUAAUCGCCGUCUAUUAUUAUAAAUUUACACAUGGAGGAUCCACCGGUCAUCACAAAAGAUCUCUGAUGGCGAGACGAGAACCGUCCGAUUGGGGAUGCUCUCUAUUUUCAGGAGUGCAACGCAUCUGAACGUCUUCGAUCGAUGCUGUUUAAUGUCGCACCGCACGUGGUUGAGAAAUGUUUUUUUUCCUGCACCAGGUGUAUUACUUCAUCGUAUACACCGCGCUGCUCAAUUGCAUAAUAGAGAUCUCGAAAAUGAAUAAAUUUAGAGGGUUAUUUCUUGUAAAUCAAAUAAUAAUUUUUUAUCUGCAAUUAAUCAUUAAGACUGCUUAAUACACCAGCAACAAACUUUUAAACUUUAUAAUUUUUAGAUUUGGUGCACGAGGUGGACGAAUAUACAGGGUGCAGAGAAAAUAAUCGUAUCCGCAACGCCCCGGCGCGUGGGGUCCACUAUCACGUGGAGCGGUGGAGGGAGCCGUUGGAAAGCGGUGCGGACACCCCAACGCGAAGGUUUGGUGCACCACCCUGCGUCGCCCGGUACACCAUGCAACCAAUUGUACGAGCGCGCGCAUAGGAAAUUCUAAGCGGGUGGCGUAUACGGCAUCUUUACAGUCACGUGGUACACGAAAGAGUAUCUUUCACCACAGACAGGGCAGUCACAAAUACAUUCAUAUUUAUACCUAAAAGAAAAUUACAUUAUAUAAUAAUGAAUACCAUGAAGUGUUACUUUAUAAAAGUAAAAAAAUAUUGGGUUAAUUUCAUACAGGUACCCACAAAUAUAGUGAAUAGCAGAUAUAUCUCUGCAAAGUUCAACUUUCAUAAGUUAUUUCUGUAAAAGUUCUAAUUAAUGCAGAUAUGUCCUUACAGUUAAUAUCCGUUAGAAAAAUCUAAUUAACUAUAAUUAAAAUACUUAACCAUGGUCAGUUAAUACGGUAAAAUGAUAUUUUUACCCUUCUUCUUCUUCCUUUUCUUCUUCGUAUCCUUGUUUUCCUCCUCCUUUUCUUCUCCUUCUUCUUCUUCAACGUCAUUGUUGAUGAUUCGAUCGGCGUCCCCGUCGUGGUGCCCGCGUGGGCUGUCGUCACAGGUGCCUCCAACCGCAUCGGCCGCGCCUUCGCCUUCCGCCUCUUUCUAGUACUCGUUGGCCGCAACCCCGACAAGUUUUUUUUUUUUUUUUUGAGAGAGAGAUAGGUAGCACACUACCCGUUUCGUUUAUUUCAUUGAGAAAUAAACUUAGCUUGAAAUGUAAGUCGACUAAGAUUCGAAUUUGGGUCUCGGGUACCAACCAUCAAGCCCUUUGCUACUUGCUUUAUGGACGGUCGAUAACCCUGACAAGUUCCGCGAGAUCGCCGCCGCCACCGCCGCCGUCCGCUCCCACAGCCUGAAGAGGAAGAGGAAGGAAAGAGGGUAAGGGCAAAAUUAUAAUUUCACAACUCUACUGUUAAAAAAUUAACAGUUCUCUAACCAGAGGGACACAUCUGCAUAUAUUAGGACUUUUGUAAAAAUAACUUAUGAAAGUUGAACUUUACAGGGAUAUAUCUGCUAUUCAUCAUGUUUGCGGGAUCUGUAUGAAAUUAAUCCAAAAAUAUUUGUUGAAACCAAAGUUUUUUAUUUAGUACUGCAUUGAAAAGUUAUUUGGAUGGCUCUGUGAUAUUACAAAAUACAACAAAAUAAUUUUAUUUUUUUAUAUUUUGAAAAAAAAUUAAAAUCUCAAUUUAUGAUAUUUUAGAAUAAAGUAUGAGCAAGUCAGCAAACCACAAGUUAUCCCCCUCUCUUUAAAAUAAGGUAUUUCUUAGAGUAAUUAAUUUGGAGUGAUCCAAAUACCUUAAAUAUAAUUUUUAAAAUAAAGUAAUAUUGUUUUUAGCAGGCAUAAGACUAUUGGAAAAAUAAUUUAAAUUAGUUUCAAAGUUUUCUGACAAAGAAUUAAAUAGAUAAUUUUUAGUUAGAAAUUAAUUAUUUAUUUAACAUUUUUAGUGAAGAUAUAUCUUAAUUACUACGGAGAAUAAGAAGCUCGUCUAUUCGAAUUGAGCUAUUCCUCCAAAUCCAAUAGGUUGCUAUUCCAAAGAUUAUAAAAAUAUUUAUUGUUACUCCAGUUCUAAUUUUCAUUUAUAUGAUGUUUUUUUAGAGAGAAAGAUAUUAAGUUAUUCAUUUCGCUUAUUCUUUUUACAAAUAAACUCACUUUGAAAAAUAAAAUAAUUGUAUUUUAAAAUUAAAAAUUUUUAAUAUCUAUCAUCAAGUUUUUAGUUGAUAGUGCUAAGUGUAUAUUUGGUUUGACGUAAAACUGAAAAAAAAAUUUCGGAGGAAGAAAAUUUUACGCUCUUUUAUUUUUGAUUUGUAGAAAAAAAAAAAAAAAUUUCCGUUACAGUUGUUUAAUUGAUGGAAAAAAAAUUAUAAAUAAAAAAUUAUUUUAUAUAUAUAUAUUAUUGAUAUAUAAUAAUUAUCAUAUUACAUAUAUUAGUAUUAUAAUUUAUAUUUAUAAAUAAAAUAUAUUUAAAAGAUAUUAUAUAAUAAUUAAAUAUGUAAUAUAAUAUAUAAUAGUACAUAUUUAAUACUGUAAAAUAAAUUAUAUAACAAUAUAUUUAUAUUAAAAAUAAAAUACUNCAGAUUUUUACUUGCCGACUUUUAUUUUUAAGGUAUUUUUUACUACUAUCUUCUGAACUUAAAUUCUAGUCUCCAUGACUGGAAUGAGAUUUAUCAUUUUUUUUUUUAAAUAUUUUUAAAGUAGAAUAAACCUAACAAAAUGUGGCAAUUUAAAUGUUUACGUAGUGUAGAUAGUAAUUUUAAUAGUUAAAACUCUGGAAAACUAGUGAUCGGUUUACUACAGCUUUUUAAGACUUUAAAUCGAAGGUUUAUGAAAAUUAUUACAUCUAGUUCAGAUUGCCUCAGCUAGCAGCUAAACCUUCGACGUAGUAGCUUUUGUUGAACCAUCGUGCCUUCGGAGGCACGAUGGCUAACAUAUCGUCGGCCUGAGAUAUAUAUAUAUAUAUAUAUAUAUAUAUAUAUAUCUUAUACUCAUUUGAUAGGUAAAUGAUUCCGAAAAAUUAUAAAAUUUAGUUUCUAAAUACUUUCAAUAGUAUAGAUCAAGUCUAACGGAGCCGAUAGUCGAUUUGGAAGCGGCAUCAUUAAAAACAACUUGGUAGCAUUGAGACGUCCGUACUACCGAUAGUAUAGCAGCCUAGCUAUAUAUAUAUAUAUAUAUAUAUAUAUAUUUAUAUAUAUAAUUAGGCUGGAAUACCAAUUUGUGGUCUGAUUCUCCGACCUUACCCUCCGCGCACCACCUUUUUUGAUCCUUUCUCCUUUUUUCCUCUUUUUUCUUUUCUUUUCGUCUUUUUCCUGUUUUCUUCUUUUUCUUGUUUUGUUUCUCUUCUUGGUUUUCUUCUGCCCCGAAAGCCCUAGCUGCUUCCAUACUGUUCGCCUAGUUCACUUAUCAAUGAAUGAAGUAGGUAGCUAGUCUACCUCUUUCUCAAAAAAAAAAAAGACUGGAAUACUAUUAAUAGCAUAAAGCUAUUGGUGCUAUUAGUUGUUUAGCCUUUGGAUUGGGAAAUGUGUGGUUAGAAUGAUGUGAGCCCACCCUCCAUGGUUGAGUGAGUGAUUGUUGAAUAGUAUAAUCUAACAAGUAAAAAUAAUCAAAGAGUACCGACCGUCUCUACAGCAAGUGGCAAAGUGCUUGGUGGUUGGUAGCCGAAACCCAAGUUCGAAUCCUAGUUGAUUCAUAUUUUCAGCUAAAUUUAUUUCUAAAUGAAAUAAACGAAGCGAGUAGCAUGCUACCUAUCUCAAAAAAAAAAAAUCACUAAAUUUUUUGUGCUAUCGAUAGUAUUCCGGUCGGUAUAUAUAUAUAUAGAAUUAUGCUACUAUACUAUCAAUAGUACCAAGUCCCUGGUACUAUUUAGUUUUUGGUCGUUGAAUAAAAGAAUGUGCGGUUAGGAUGAUAGUGAUCCCCGGUUAAAUUAAUAGUAGUCCUCAAGGGUUGAGUGGGUGGUUGGUUUAAUAGUAUUAUCUAAUGGAUGGAAAUGAUCAAAGGGUAAAUCUAACGGUAGAAAACUUAAUAGUACCAAAGACUUGGUACAAUCAAUAGUAUAAUAGCUGGACUCUACAUAUAUAUAUAUAUUUAUAUGAGUGGAGACAGAGAGAUUCAUCGUCGACCGCCCUAUCGCGCGGUCCACCUCGUGGACCGUGUGCUGCUGCCCCCCUCCCCUCACAAUGCCGUGUUUUUUGCUACUUUCGUUUUCAUUUUUGGCUUGCUUCGAGCGCAAAAUGAAAACAAGCUUUUUCCUGUUUAUCAUUCGUGAAAAUUAUUUUUAAAAUAAAAUUACGAGCAAACAAACAUUAAUUCAAUUUUUACUUUUUUUAUAAUUUUUUUUUAAAAUAGUUUUUUUAUGAGUAACCAAACAAACCUUUAGCAUGAAUGGUAGAGUAAAUUCUGAUGAAUAUGUAUAAUAUAUUACAAAUUUUGAUGGACAUGUACGUGUACUAGUUCUUAUUUAAAUAAACAGUAUUUUCAAAAAAAAAAAAACAGGGGCAUUCACGUUAAUUUAAUGAAACGUAGAAAUGUUAUUCUGUAGUAGUAGGCGACCCCGUCGAUGUGCGAACACGUGCGCCUGCUUUGGACCGGCCGUUGCAUGCGGGGCCACCACUCCGAGUUUGUCUCUCGGCGGGUUUUCUCGUUCUCGUAAUAAAACUGAGCCACGUGGGGAACGGUCUUCGAGCCCCCUCCUUUAAAAAAAAAAAAAAUAUAUAUAUAUAUAUAUAAUUAUUAUAUUAUAUAUAUAUAUAUUUAAUCUUUAUUUUUUAUUUUUCCUCCACUCACUCUCCCCCCUCUCGCGUACGGCGUACACCGACCCUAAUCCUUUUGCGUACGGCGUUUCUCUUCGAAAAAAAUAAUUUACAUAUAUAUAUAUAUAUAUAUAUAUUACUUUAAGAUUUUUUUAUUGAGCAAUGCUACAAGAGUACAAGUACAUAAAAGCCCGUGUAAGUCUUACACUUUUUGAUUCAAAAAUCUAAAUUAAAUUUUAAUUUUAUCAAAAUUAUUAUUUUUAAAUAUUAAUUUUUUUUCACCCUUAUCGAGGCCGAGCUGUCUCACUUUUGUAACCUAAUUUAUAAUUUUAAUGAGUGAAGUGGGUAGCAUGCUAUUUUAUUCUCCAAAAAAAAAAAUUUAGUUUAUUAGAAGGUUCGAUAUCCAUAAUUUAAUUAUUAUUUUUAAAAAAAUAAUUUAAAGACUAAAUAUAUAGUAAACUUUUUAGAUAUUUAAUUUAUCUUUUUUAUUUAUUAAUUUUUAUUAAAAUUUUUAAAUAAAAAAAUAUAUCAAAUACAGCUGGUGUCGGCUUAGUUACGCUGUAUAUGGUUAGCUACGAGCUUCUGCACCGUCCGGUCGAAGUAUUCGAUCGCAAUGUUGAUGUGGCUCUGUUUCUCUCACGUAUUCGAAUAAAUUUAUUUCUUCAGGCCCAUUCUGUUGCUUGGCCUAGGAAUGUCAAUGGGUAUGGAUAUCCGAAAUUAAUUCAAAUUUGAAUCCAAAUAAAACGGAUAUAUCCGAUGAAUAUGGAUAUGAAUUCGGAUAUGGAUAUCAAAAAAUAGAAAUCUAACGGAUAUGGACUCGGAUAUGGAUUUUGAUUGUAUCCGAUCCGAACUCGAACCCGAACCCGAUCCGAACCCGAAUUUAUUUUGUAUUAUAUAUAUAUAUAUAUAUAUAUAUAUAUAUAUAUAUAUAUAUAUAUAUAUAAAUUUGAUGUUAUAUUUGAAUUUUAUAUUUUAAAAAUUUAGAUUUAAUAUAAUAUAUUUUGAAAUAUUGAAAAAAAAUAAUUGUUUCGAGUACAAAUUUUCGGGUUCGGAUUCGAGUUCGGAUUUCAGAUUUUUGGUUGGGUUCGGAUUUGGAUAUGAAUUUUUAAAAUCCGUCGAAUUCGAGUUCGGAUUCGGCUCUCGGGUUUGAAGUCAAGUUCGGGUUUGGAUUUUUAAAAAUCCGCCCGCAAUCCCGUUGACAUCUCUAUGCUUGGGUGAAGAGAAUGAUGCAAUUGUUGACGUGUCACCUUGAAGCCCAAUAUCUUUUUUUCUUUUUUCAUUUUAGGCGUACGUAUUUAUGUACGAAAAUUAUUUUGUUAUUUAUCAAACAAUUUAUACUGAAUAAUUAUAAGAAUUUUGUUCCUCUGUAUAGCUAUAUGUUGAGAGAGUAUCUUUUUUGGGGUGUUAUUAUUUUUAAAUUCUCGUAAUAUCUAAAUUAUAAUAAAUUAAUAAUCAUAAAUUCUAUAAAAAUAAAUGACGUAUUAUAAUUUUAUAUUAUUAAUCAAAUCAAAAUGUAUUGAAAGAUUGAUUACUUAAAUAAAAAAUUUUAAAAGGUGAAUAAUAGAUUCAGAAUGAUCAAUAGCUUAGAUAAAUUCAGUAUGAUUUUACUAAUUUAAUAUUGUAUUUUUUUUUCAAUUUAUUAAAAAAAUAAUUCUCUACUGAGGUUCAUGGACUAGUUCCACGCAAUAAAUUCCCAACGCCAUGGUUCACAUCAAUUGUUUCCUACAUUUGCUGGCCAUCCAAUAAUGGCAUGGACUCGUGCAGAACGGUUAUUUCUUUUUCCAAAAUUGCCCUCCACUUAAAUAAUAAUAAUAAAUAGCGGAUCUGCGUUCACACCAAUCACACACUUGUUUGAGGAGUGAAAAGCGACACUAACACAUGCACCAUUGUUCACACUAGUGGCAUUCUCGUGAUUUUUAUGCCCUUUUCCCCAUCUCGCGACCAUACCUCUAUUUAACGCUCCCUUCGUUUUUCCUCUCUCUCUCUCUCUCUCUCUCUGGUUGCAACGAGAACCGGACGAGUCGACCGGUCCGGUUCAAUCGAACCGGAUCUUCUCCUCUCUCCUUCUCCUCCGUAGUUAAGAGCCCCGAUCCCGUUUCCUCGCGCCUCAGAUCCGUUCGAUUUGGGCUAAAUUCGGCGCGUUCGCGCUUCUCGUCGCCGAUUCUGACGAAGAGCGGUAGGGUUGGGGUUAGGGGUGGGGCUAGGGCUCGGAGAUGACCUCGGGGGGGAGGAUGCCGACGUGGAGGGAGAGGGAGAACAACAAGCGGAGGGAGCGGCGGCGGAGGGCGAUCGCGGCGAAGAUCUUCGCGGGGCUCAGGGCGUACGGGAACUACAAGCUCCCGAAGCACUGCGACAACAACGAGGUCCUAAAAGCGCUUUGCCACGAAGCCGGAUGGGUCGUCGAAGAGGACGGCACCACGUACCGCAAGGUAACCCGAUCCCUCUUCUCCACUCUUCCAAUUUUUGCUUUUUUUUUGCCCUUUCUCGGUAAAAAUUAUUUAACUAAUAUAUAUGGACAUUAUUUGAGUCUUUAACAUAGUUAGGCGAACGUUAGUCGUACGCGCUUGUUCCUCUCGGAAAAUGCUCCUCGGCGUGCGCAUUUUAGCAGAUACUACUUGUUCGUGCUAUAAUGCGCCGGUAAAACGUUGUGGGCAUGAUUUGUUUAUUUUUUUUUUUAUUAUGCUGGGAAAAUAAUUAUUUCAAUUUUGUUUUCCCUUACUUUAUCAUCGUGUGGACGUGAUUAGGGGAGCUUAUUUCGAUCUUUGUCGAGCAAAUUAGCCUUUUUACUGUUAGCAGUAAUUAAACCUCCUGUUCUAGGGGCAGUUUAGUCAUUCCAGUAAAGGUCGGGAAAUUGCGUUUUCUCCGGUUGUCCCUGUCCGAUUGCGUCACGCAAGUCACGCGUCGCACAGGGUAGCUUUCGCGUGUCACGGAAACGCGGGGCGGGCUCACGUCUAUUGACCAAAAUGCCCCUCCCUCCCGGGUCACGGCUCUCGUGCUCGUCCCUGUUGCCCCCCCACCACAACUGCCGCGUGGGGAGAAGCACUGCGCGUAAACGCGGAUCGCGAACGCGGAUUUUGUCCCUUCCGCCUUUGUGCUGCGGAGGUGAGAACCACGUGUCGUGGACGCCAUUUCCCCCCAGAUUGAUGUUAUGUUAUGGUGACCAAUUUUAUGUACCCGAUUAUGACCGCACCCAUUAGUGGGUGCAUCAUUUGAGUAUUUGCUUGGGCUCAAAUAUGAUUUGGGCUCGACCGAGCUCGGCUUGAAUCUCAUAUAUUCUGGCUCGAGGUUAUUUGAUGUAUAAGCUACGCUUGCUUGUUUGGUUCGAAUCAAGCUUAGUUUAGUUCAAUAAAUUUUGUUUCAGAUUCAGUAGUACGUAUAUCCUCUAAAAUUAGAGGAAAAAAUUGUAUAUAUAUAUAAAGACGCAUCUUACAUAAGAUGCGCGAGACCACAAUUGUGCGGGUGAUUCACGGGACCAUUCUACCAGCCAUAUAGUGUUGUGCGAGUGAGACAGAUAUAUCCACUUUUGGACUAGAAAUUAAAAAUUAGCUUGAAAUAGAACAAAAAUUAAGUAUAGUUUCUUUGAACUCACAAUUAUGGGGAUUUGGGAAAGGGCGAAACAAAGGAGAUGGGAACUUUGGAGUUGGAAAGAGAUUGAAAGGUUGGGAAUCCUCGUGCUUCAACUGUGCGCCUUUAAGUAACGUCGUAAAAAUUAUGUGCUGUGUGAGUCGUCAAAGAUUCGAAGGGCAAGUGGAGUUUCCUGUUACUGAGACCUACCUUUGCUAACAUCCCAUUCCACUACACCUCUUUUUGAAAUGGCCCUCCUUAAUUGACUGGGAAGUGCCCAGUCCACUUAGGUAAGUGGAUUAGCACAGUAGGAGAAGGAUAUUAUUCUACGCAAACAACCCCAAUCAGUUAUAUUAUCUGAUCUCCUCUAUGUUCGAAGAGUUUCUCGAGAUAUUCACUAUAUAAACUGUUAAUUUGGCGAAUUUUAGUGUGAAUUCGAGUUUAUUAGUAGUACUUCGUCUUCGUGAUAGUGUGUACAGCUCAUCUCUGGAAUGCUUAUUAUCACAAGUUAGCACUAAAGCACCAGCUUCUUCAGUUCCUGCAUUGAACUUUUUUGGUUUGUUCCAACUUUUUAUUUGAUUUGUUGGACAAUAUUUGUCCGGAUCAUUUUUGAGCUGAGUUUUUUUUUUUUUUCAACAUUUAAAUUUUUCGAAUGCGAGAGAUCAGGCCGUCAGUACUCGUGUUAAAAGUUGCUAAUUAUAUUCAUUUGGGCCUAUUAUUAUUCGUAUGUUCGGUAGUUCUUUGAUCGCCGCACUGCAUUGAAUUUAUUCAAGAAAAACAUAUUAUAAUGUCCAAUUACGUGAAAUCAUGCAUCUGUAGUGUUAUCCUGUUAAAUUGUUUUCCACCGAGGAAAAUGAUUAAUCAGACAAGGAAUUGUUACUUUUCAUUUUCUAAAUUUGUAUGAAGAGCAUUGAUUAUACCAUACAUUGUAGAGCAUUGGACGGAAAAGAUAUACAGAUAUGGUGAUGUAAAAAUUGAAUAAGAUAAAGGGUACACGUAAGUUAAGAAAAAAACAAACAAAAGUAUGGAUUAAAUUACAAUGUAUCUAUUCUGUCAAAACUUACAAGAGCCAGUAUGAUUCGUGUAUUGAUUGUUUCAUUGUGAUGGUAUCUGAUUCCUUUCUCCAUCUCAAAUCAUCAGGAAGGGAUUCAUCAUCACUUGCAGCUCUUCUAGACAGUUUAAAUUGCAACCCUAUACUUAUAAAGGUAUCUGUUUCCAUGUCUUUCAGGGAUGCAGACCAGCGGAACGCGUGGACGUUGUCGGCAGUGUGGCUGCCUCGGCUUCUCCAAGCCCGUGCUCAUCAUACCAACCGAGCCCGUGCAUGUCCUACAAUCCGAGCCCGCCUUCGUCCUCCAUUCCAAGCCCGACUUCCUCGUCUUACAUCACCAACCCCAACAGCGGGACCGACUGCAAUCCCCUACUCCCGUGGCUGAAGACCCUGUCCUCCGCCUCGUCCUCUGCCUCUUCCUCAAAGCUUCAUCUCAACAUCCACUGUGGCUCCAUAAGCGCCCCUGUAACCCCUCCGCUGAGCUCUCCAACCGCCCGCACGCCUCGCAUCAGAACUGAUUGGGACGAUCGCACAGCCCGAUUACCCCAAUGGGCUAAUGGUACCGGGACGCCUUACACUCUGCUGCUGUCAUCCACUCCGCCAAGCCCCGGACGGCAAGUGAGCCCCGACGCCGCAUGGCUCACCAGCAGCCCCUCCUCUCCGACCUUCACCCUCGUGUCGGCUAAUCCGUUCGGGAUUUACAAGGAGGCAUCCGCCAGCGCGGCGGGGUCGUCGAGAAUGUGGACACCGGGGCAGAGCGGGACGUGUUCUCCAGUUCCUGGUGAUGCGAGGGACAUCCAUAUGUCCGACUGCGCAUCAGAUGAGUUCGCAUUCGGAAGUGGGAGUAUCAACGGGAACGUGGUGAAGCCGUGGGAGGGGGAGACGAUCCACGAGGAAUGCGGGUCGGACGAGCUGGAACUCACUCUCGGGAGCUCGAGGACCAGAUAGGAUAUUUCAUAGUGGAGAUUGAUAAACAAUCAUAAAAUUACCACCUAUUUUAACUUUUACUGCAAUCUUUUUUUCUGCUGCAGUGGUGAUAGAGAGAUAGAGAGAGAUCGAGAGGGUUCAGCAGUAUAUAUUUAUGUUAAUUCUCGUGUCAAGCCCCCAUCUUCUUUCGGGAUAUUUAAACAUGUCCGUCCAGUUAAUUUAAAAGAAUUGAAAGGACAUAUAGAAUGGAUUAGGAGCAUCCAUGGUAGCUAGCGUUUGUUUUGGUCCUUUGCUUAUCAAUUGUACUAAUAUUGCACUAGUGCCAUUUUAACUUGGCUUCUCGUUCUAUCUAAGGCUGACGUGGUGGAGCUAUAGUUUUUUCCGGCUUGUGCGAAUUUUUUAUUUUUUUUAUUUUUACGAUGUAAAUUUUUAUAGAAACACAGAUCACUUAUUUUAAGGUGCCAUUUGGCAAUUCUCUGUUCUUAGAACUCGUCUUUAUUAUAAAAAUAAAAAUGCCACAGCAAGAGAGAAAAAAAAGGAAAGUUUUGCAGCAUUCUUUAAUGCUAUUCGCAGUCUCACUCUUAGAACAAGACCUGCACGAAGCAUUUCUUUCUUGCAAAACUUAUGCCACAGGAGAGUAUUCGGGGACAACAGAGAGAAUGAGAAUAAACCGUAUUAAUAAACCGGCGAAUUGACCAAAAAAAAAUGCAAUUAGAAAAUUGUAGCGGUUGCAUACAACUCGAUCUCACGUCCCACGGGAUAUAUAAGCUUUACACCGUAGAGCUUCGGAGACACCGAGACGCCUAUUUCUAUUCCGAUUUCUACUCCUCCCUCGACUCAAUACAAUCUCUGACCUGUGUUUCCACCCCCGACCACGUUCCCCUUCUCCCUCGCCCAUGUCGAUGGCCCCUUCGACCUCGGCAGCUGCGGCUAGGGUUUCGCUGGUGCUCUCGCUCCUCAUCUUCGCGUCCUCGAUCUCGGUCUCCUCCUCCUCCUCCUCCUCCGCAUCUCCCAAAAAGAUCCUCGCCCACGCGUCGGCGGCGGCGACGGCGGGAGGGGCGGAGUGUCGGGAGCUGGGGUCGAGGGAGGAGUGCGCGCGGAGCCCGCGGCGGUGCCGGUGGUGCCGCAGCGACGCGAUCGACGACAUGUGCUUCGGAUCCGCCGAGGCGUGGCGCCUCCCCCACCAGGUCUUCUCCUGCGAUCCAAUUCCAGUCGCCGCCGCGUCCUAGUUCCUAGUAUUCCCCUCUCCUCUCUCCAGAAGCUUCUAUUUUUUUUUUUUUCUUUUCCUCUAAUUUCUCGUACUUGCUUCGAUCUGAGUAGCCUCAAUCUCCUUUUGAGCUCCCCUGUAAGAAAAAAGGAAAAAAAAAAAAAAAAACUGGUAUGUGUGUAUGUGUUCUUUUUUUUUUUUUUUGUUUUGUUUUAAUUAUUUUUACACGGAUCUGCAAUUGGAAAGUACAAAGAAAAAAAAAGAAAAGGAAAAAAAAAAGCCUGAGUUAGGGAUUAGGAUUCGUUCACCACCUUAUAGAAGAGAGGCACGCUUCUGAUGCUCUGAAUCAGUUUAUGGUUGAUUUAUGAUAGUUAUGUAGGUUUAUCAACACUUGCUUAUUUUAUAGUAACAGUUGGGCAGCUCUCGUAAACCUCUUUCUUCUUCUUCCUUUUUCCCCUUAUUUUUUGGGGGAUGUAGAAACACUACUGGAUUCAAGAACUUCGCCCGUGAAGUGUUACUAUUUCUCUAGUCCAAUGCACUGGUAGGGGGAAAGAAGGGUAAGAUCAAUGCUUAAAAUCCAAAUCGAACUAGUCCGAUUAUGACCCAGAAUUGGGAACAGUUCAGUUCAGUUCAGUUCAAGCGUGUAAAAUUGGAAACCCCCCCAAAAGAAAACCAUUUUAAACCAUUCGAACAGGUUGGUUCAAAAGGGUAGCAUUCCCAGGCCCAGCCACACAAGCCAGAUCCAAGCUCGCACUUUAAUGGAAAAGAAGAUAAAAAGAAAUCGUACAUAAUUUAUCUGAAUUAUAGAUAAUUUUAAUUUAGCUAUCUAAUUUUUCAAAAAUUUUACUGGUCAAUUUUUCGAUUCGUUUGACCUGAAUCAGUCGAUAAUAUUUUUAUUUUAAAAUUUGAAUAUAUCGUUUAUUUUCACAAAUUUAGAUAGCAUGCUUCGUGCCAUUCUCGCAAUUAUAAUUUAUUAAAAUAAAUAAUUAAUUGUAUAGUCAAAGUAUUAUUACUUGAUUCAAAAUCAAAUAAAUUAAAACAUUAAUUAGUAAAAUUAUUAUUUAAAAAAUUAAUUUAAAAUAAUUUAUAGUAAGAUGAAUUAUACACUUUUUUGUAUAGAGGAAAAGAUUUCUUCUUUUUAAAGUUUGGUUUAGCUUUUAACAAUUUGUGGGUGAGAGAAGGAAAAGGACGCUUAAAACUGAAGUAUCUUGUGAGCUUAUUAUUGGUCCUUUUCUUUUAUCUUCCCCCCAUCACAUCACAUGCCUAAUCUUUUAAUUUGAUGUUACCGAUUGGUGGGACUUAAUGAACUCUAGGGUAAACGUUUUGAUUGUUAUUAUUAUUAUUAUUAUUAUUAUUAUUAUUAUUAUACAUAUUAAAGUGCCAGUAAUGCUUCAAUACAAAUUAAAGAGGGUGUGUCAGUAAUGCUUCAAUACAAAUUAAAGAGGGUGUGUGUAUGUGUGUGUGUCUCUCUCUCUCUAUAUAUAUAUAUAUAUAUAUAGAGGAUAGGACUAAUAUACUCUUAUGAGUAUUGGGUCUUUCAUACUCAUAAGUUAUUUUUGAUGAUAGAGCUUCCGAAUCGACGAUCCACUCCGUUAAAUAUGAUUUAGAGUAUUUAAAAUUUCUAAAAAAUAAAUUUCAUAAUUUUUGAAAUUAUAAUAAAGUUCAUCAAACGAGUAUAAAAUGAACAGUCGAAAUUGAACGACGGCUUAAAAAUGGAUGAUCAGAUCCUUCAAUUUAAAAUCGGAGUUAUUGAUCUUUAUCUAUAUAGUGAAUAGAAUUUUCUAUCAAAAAUUUAACCGAUUCCAAUUUUUUUAAACCGUUAAACUAGCAAAUAUCUCAUACCGGCCGCUAAAAAUUGUUAAUUUUAUGAACUUUUGAUUGUAAGAUAAUUGAUAUCGAAAAAUUAUAAAAUUUGACUUCUAGAAGUUUUAAAUGCUCGAGAUAAUAUUUAACGGUAUGGAUCGUCGAUUCGGAAGCUCUAUUAUCGAAAAUAACUUAUGAGUACGAAGGCGGUCGUACUCAUAAAAGUAUAGUAGCCGGACUCUAUAUAUAUAUAUAUAGAAUUAGGUUACUAUACUAUCUAUAGUAUCAGAGUUCCGGUACUAUAUUCUUGUUUUCGAUCUUAGGGUGUUCAAAUUAAUGGUCCACACCGUUAAAUAUGAUAUAGGGUAUAUAAAGUUCUUAGGAAUAAAAUUUUAGUUUUUUUCGACAUCGUUUACUUAGUAAAUAAAUUAUGUCAAAAUGGACGGUGGAAAUUGAAUAAUCUUUAAAAUUUAAGCAUAUGACUUUUAAAUUCAAGAUCAAGAAUGUUAAUCUUAAUCUAAAUAGUUUAAAAUAUUUUCUAUCAAAAUUUGAAGAAAUUUAGAUUCUUCUACACCAUUAAACUUCAAACUCGUCAUAGUAGCCAUUAAAAAUUGACAAUUUUGAAGUGGUUUGAUCAUAAAGUAAACUAUGUCGAAAAAAUAUAAAAUUUUAUUUCUAAAAAUUUUAAAUACCUUAGAUCAGUUUUAACGGUGUGGAUCGUCGAUUUGAGUACCCUAAGAUCAUAAACGAGACUAUAGUAUCUGAGCCCCGAUACUAUAGAUAGUAUAGGAGACUAGCUCUAUAAAUAUAUAUGUAGAGUCCGGCUACUAUCUAUUAACCUAAAUGAAUUCCCAAUGUUUUUUACCACAUGGCAAGUUUUCUUUCAACCUUACUACCCCUUUUUUUGAACUCACAUUUGUUCUUGGCUUUUCCGCUCCCCUCCUCUUCAUUCAAUGACAAGUAAUUAAUGUGCUCUUUAAUUUAUAUGUUACUUAUUUUUCUCUUCAAUAUUAGUCAUUUCUUCUCCCUCAAAUCUCUUUUCAACGCCAAACCCUUCACCUCCCAAUCCUUUGAAAUCAUGAAAAUUAAUUAAUCGAAAAUGCAACAUUUAAUUAUAGGCACUAUAUUCCACAAAUAAAUCGGCUUUAUAACACCAAUCCACCCCCACCUCCAUUAAUCCCCCACUUCCCUCUCUUUUGCAUGACCUCUUAUUUUUCAUGCAAAAAAAAUAUCAUCAUUUAAUUUUUCACCCAAUACUCAUCUAGCUCUCUCUCUCUUAUUGUGUUAACGAAGAUGAUGAGGACGAUGAAGAAGAAGAAGAAGAGCAUGCGAAGAACGUUGUCUCCUUCGAGAAGCAUCGUUCCGCAAAAUCGAGCCGCGGCUCAUAUAAGUGCCCACUAGGUUAAUUUAGUUGCGCUGGAGCUAGCUCUUUUUUAUUUUUCACAACGGAAUGUUUAAGAUGCACAUAAUACGAUAAAAUUAUAUGUCUCUUACUGUAUUUCGAUGAUUUUAAAAUAUAUAUAUAAACUUCUAACUAUAAUUUAUUUUUUUAAUAGUUGAAUUUAGUCAUACAAAUUGAUUAUGUUUAACAUGGUUAUAGCUUCUUAGACAUCAAUAAGUUGUGAAUAUAAAUUUUAUUACAAUUUUGUUUCUAUUAUCUACCCGCUGCAUCGCGCGGGUCUCUAUACUAGUGCUAGUAAUAGCACGAAGCACUUGGUGUUACCAAGUUUUUCGCCGUUAGAUUUACCCUUUUGAUUAUUUUCAUCCGUUAGAUCAUACUAUUCAACGAACCAUCCACUUAACUAUAGGGGGUCCACAUCAUCCUAACCGCACAUCUCUUAAUCCAAUGGCCAAAAACUUGAUAGCACCAAUGACUUGGUGCUAUUAAUAGCAUAGUAGCCUAGUUCUAUAUAUGUAUAUAGUGUAUUGUUGUUAUACUUUCCAAAGCAUAACGAAAUUCGUACUUCUAACUUUUUGAUCUUUAGAUUAAGAAUGGUACAGCUAUGAUAAUAAUGAUCCUUCUAGAAUUGAGUGAUUUUUUUAUCAUUAAGUGGCCCCCAUAAAGUAAUAAUAUUAAUCCAAAAAUUACGAAGGAUCAAAGAGGUUGAUCCAAGAACUAAAAGGUCGGAAGUAUCAAUUACUUUAUACUUUCGAAAGCAUAAUAACUCUGCACUCUCUCUCUCUAUAUAUUUAGAUGGAUAGACAGAUAAAAAGAUAAAUAUAUAGUAACAAUCACUAGUUCACUUACACAUAAGCACACAGAAAAAGAGAGAAGAGAUGGAAAAAUAUUUCAGGGAUACUCAUUUUCGCUAAUAAACCUAAUGUAUGGGCCUCCGUCACUUUGAGCCUGGAAAAGCCCAUUACACCAAUUUUCAAUGGAUGGUCCAACCCGUUUCAAAGUUAUAUUUUUUAGAAUUUUUUUUUUUUAACUAGUUAUUUGCAACUACCCUUCCAUGUAAACUUAAGUACUUUUCAAGAGUAUUAUCAUCUCCAAAGUUAAAUAUAGCCAUAGCCCAUACGAAGAAGAAAAAUCAAUGCCAAAUUACAAAAAAUUCGAACAUGUUUGCCUGUAUCUCUAAUAUUAAUCCACCUAUCAUAAGUAGCACAGUUGGUUAAAAAAAUUGCUUCAUAUUUUUUGCUGAAUUUAUUUGUAAAAAAAAUGAACAAAACAGAUAGCAAGUUACGUUUUCUCUCAAAAAAAUUUCCUAAUGGACUAACCAUUAGGAGCUUACAUGGUUUGGUCCUAAGCGGAACCAAACCAAAUAAGACUAUUUAGUUUAGUUUAUAUUGUUUUCGAUUUGAUUCAAUUUUCAAAUUUACUAAAAUUUGGUUUUCGAUUUCCAUUCGAUUUGAACGUAUUUCUUAGCCGAACCCAAACCGAAAACUGAAGAGUAUUAUAUUUUACAUUUCUUAUCUAAACUAUUUAUUAAAAUUUUAUAUUAAAGAUCAAAUCUUGAUCAUAUAGGUUAGAUGUGCUUUGAAAUUUAGUUAUCGACUUUAAUUUUGCGUUUCUGAUUUGUGGAUAGUUUUGAGAUACGAUAAAUUUAAAAAAAAAAAUUUGUGAAAAAAAAAUAAAUAUUUGUGUUAGGUAGCAAAAGGCUUAGGCUCCGCCAACCCAACGAUGAAGAAACCAGUUAACGAAUUUUUUUUUCCUUGUGCCCUAGAGGGGAUAUAGCAUAUUGUACUUUUCACAAUCUCUUUUUGACAAUAAACUUUGCUUUUACUUUUUUUACUUAAUUUAUUUUAUUUUGUAACUCUUUAUUUUUAAUUUUUAAGAAUUUGUAACUACAUACACAAUAGUAUAAAUUUAGAAAAAAAAAUUCAAUGCAAUAGCCGAAUUUUUUAUCCUGAAUUUUUAAUUGAUGAAUAUAUAAUUUUCGUAUGAAUAGUAUAUUUGAAUAAUUCACGAAAUUAUUUUUUAAUUUAUAUUUUUUAAUAAAUUUAAAAAUUAAAAUAAGAAUUCUAUUCGAAUAUAAUUCCUACUUUAAUUUUUAUCGAAUAUCCACGGAUGCGGGACCCACAAUGCACACUGUCGUCUCUUCUUUCCGGGUAUGAAUCCGACAACAAGUCAGCCACGUGACGUCGGAGUCAACGCACAAAUCAAAGAGACAGCUGGACUUAUCCACAAAAAAAAAUAAAAAUAAAAACACUUCACGAUCCCACCGUCCGAUUCCUGCAAGUGGGGAUGCGUAGCACCGCGUUUUCUCGGGAUUCCAAAUUUCCUGGCGGCGCCGGGAGAAAGCCCACGUGUGUUUAGAUUACUAAUUUUGAGUACCUAACUUUUUUCCACCAUUUUGAAUUGAUCAUUUAUUUUUUUUUCAAAUUUUAAUUUUAAUUUUAAUGUUCAAUUUUUUAAUUUAUUACUGAGUUAGUCAACAAUGGUUUUUUUAAAAAAAAUUUGAAUGCAUAAUUUAUUUUUACAUAUUUAGUUAGCAUUUUUUAUAUAAUUAACAUAACUAUAAAUUUAUUAAAAUAAAAAUUAGUAACAAAAUUACCAUUUCAGAUAUAAAAAUAU